UGGAAGUAGAAUUGACUUCAAGUUUUCAUGGUUUGUUGUUGCUGGUGGCGGUGGUGGUGGUGGGGUGUGUGUGUGUGUGUGUGUGUGUGUAAGUGAGCAAAAGUUGAGCUGAUGAGAAUUUGGCCCAUAUGGUUUAUUGUUUCUAGAAUGGAUCAGUUUCAUCCCAGUGCCUGGGCAAUUUUGUUGCACAUUAAUGUGAAAUAUUGUAAAUGUUUUUACCAAGCUAUCAACUAUGAAAUACUUUAUCCAAAACAUUAUGAUUACAAAGGCGAUAAUAGAAACAGCUUAAACCAGGAGAAAAUGCUCUGUUAAAGAGGAUUAGAAAGACCAUUUAUUGAAUAGUAUGGAUUUCUUCCAAGCCCCUGUGUGCAGAAAGCAUGCAAUGCGUGAAUAAUUCAUCUAGAAAUUCUAUCGUGAAGUUGUAUCAGUUUCCACAGUAAAACCUGGCCAUGGAGGAGGAAAAUACAUCAACAUCUGUGACAAGCUCUAUGAGGAGACAGUGGCAAAGCCUUUCAGGCACCAGGAGCAAAGCAAAAUAUAAUAAAUUCACUUAAGUGUCAAAUUUGUGUCGGCUAAAUAAUGACACCAUAUGUCUGGGUUGCUAUGUCACCAUAGGCUGCUCUGAAAAAACACAUUGCUUUAUAGAAAUGGCUGUCAGCUCAGGGAAGAAAGCUUGCGGGCUACUGCCUUUCUAUCAAAGAAAACAGAGAUUGCCCAAUGAAUGCAGCAUCCAAUGAUCAAUACAAUGAUUGUUGUUAUUGUGUUGUUUUUUCUUAAUAUGUCAGCAGUUAGAGUGAGCCUGCUGUUUAGACUUAGACAUGUAUAGUUAGAGAGGCUGUCUUAGUUGCACUGUCCUUCAACUGAGUUGGGGUAAGGCUUUGAAAUCCCCGACAGUGGGCCUGCUGCAUGGGCGUUAAUGAUGCAACUUGUCUUUAUAUGGUUUUCUGAGGAACUCUCCUCAGGGCACUUCGUAGACACUAUCUCAUUACUCUUCACAGCACCCCCAGGAGGAAUCCAGGACUCUGACAUUAUUUUCCUCCAGGGUAACUGAGGCAUAGAAAGAUUAUGGUCACAUUAGCCCAUAGGAGGCAUGAUUCUGCCGCCCACUCAGCGUUUCUUGCUCCAGGCAGUCAGUAUUCAAGCAGGCAUGCAGACAGUCUUUAUAGGAAGGAGGAUUUGCCUUGUCUCCUGGGCAUUUCUCUCCUUUCUGCUGGCAUGCAUAGUGCUGGCUGGGUGCCUGCUUCAUGGCUGCUUCACCACUCCAAAGGCACAGUACCUAGGUUCAGCUGCCCUGUGAGUGGUCAUCCCGCAGAUUGCGCACUGUGAUGCUGGUUCCAGAGGCUUCAUGCUUGCAUACAGGCCCCAUGGCAGGCUGAUCAUGUCGUGUGUAACUGCUCUGAACAGGCUGGGACUCUGGAGAGCACCUGUCUGCCAUGCAAAGGAAUCAGUAACCCUGUCUCAGCUUCACACAGCCAGCCUUGACUGUGCCUCAGUUUUUCAUCACAAUUAGUCCAAUGGUACUUAAAAGAGAUUGUGGCAAAGAUAAAUCAUGUGGGAGGGGUUAUGUUUAACUUUAAUCACAAAGGUAUAGGUAAGAGCUAGGAAAUUGUGCAAAUGGAUCUAUUAUAAGGAAAAUUGCCUUCCGUAUAUAUUAGUUGUUCAUGACAGCCUUCCAAAGAAUUUAAAAACCCUAAAUUAACUUCUAAACAAUAACCAUUUUAGGAGUGGUUCCAACAGAAUGGUGCAUAUCUGAAUCAUUUGGAGAGUUUUGUGUGUGCACACAGGCAUGCCCUCAGACAUACUGAGUCAUUGGAUCCGGAGUAUAGCCUGGGAGUAGAGAUUCUAAAACCCCAGGUGAAUCUGAUGUGAAGUCAAUGAUUCUUCAGAAGGCUGCACAGGCCCUAGUUUCUCUCCUUCUGACACUGGGAAGUAUAAAACAUCAAGUGCAAAGUGAAACAGAUAAAAAAGAAUUGUGGUUUCCUGACCUGACAGAGGUGUUUUCCAUUCAGCAGUGUAAUAUUAGGAAAUGGAGAAGAUCAUAUAAAUGCCGCAGUUCAGACUGAAUCUGAAAAAUGGAGUUUGAAACAUGUAAAAGAAGUCUGGGGCAACCAUAACCAGGAUGUUUCUGAUUGACACCUACUCCCUCAUCCUAGUCCCAUCUGAGUUUGUGGUAAGUAAUACCUUUCUCUGUUGGCUGUUUUAGCUUUCCUUGAAACCAGUCAAAGGACAGAGGUUAUUCAGUUGAAAGAUGGCCACAAAUUCACAGGUAAAGUCUGUUUCUCCACUCCUUUGAACUUGGGCUGAGCUGGUGACUGCUUUGAUUAGUGGAACACAGGGAAGUGAUGCUGUGUCAGUUUUUGGCCUAAGCUUUUGGGAAUACUGGCUGCAUAUGCUUCUCCUCUCUUAGAACACUAGCUCUGAGUUUGCUUCCUCUUGAAACCCAGCUGCCAAGCUAAUAAGUGCACGAAUCACAUAGAGAGCUUGUUUUCAGGCAUUUUGUUCAACAGUCUCAGCUAAGUUCCUGGCCAAGAGCCAAUAUCAACUGUCAGGCAUGAAAGUGAACCAUCUUGGACAUUCCAGCUCAGUUGAACCCCAGAUAACUGCAGCCCCAAUCAGCAUCACAUGGAGCAGAAGUACCACCCAGCUAAGCCCAAUCAAAACAAAGAAUCACAAAAAUUAACAGUAUGGUUGGUGCUUUAAGCCAGUAAAUAUCAGGAGGCUUUCAUGCAGCAAUAGAUAACUAAAACAAAGUGUCAGUGUAUUUCCCAGUCCAUACUAGUCUGAAGGUAAAAAAAAAAUGGAUCACAAUUACAAUUUCAAAAUAGUAUUUUUGGCUGUAUUUUCACCUAUUUUGUGGGAACUUCAGUGUCCUCAUGUUCUUCCCACGUAAUUUCUCUAAGGAGUGUCUAGAAUGUAUGAUCUGGGAACCAAUCCUUUUGGCCACCAUGUAGCACUGCUGUUUUAAAAUUUUCACUCUGAUAACAUCUCUGCUCUGAGGUGAUGCCUGUUUUUCUCUGCUGACACUAAGGGUAGGAGCCUGCUCUGUCUCCCAAAGCACCACUUCUGUAAAUGGCCUCAAUGACUGUGCUAAGCUUGUCAAUGCCCCCAGAUGUGUAUUAAGGUGCCAUUUCCAUUACUCAUGAGGCUACUGGUGCCAUUAUAGCUGCUGCUGCUGCUCUGUUUGUAAGGUCCCAGGGGCAUUUUAGGAAACAGUUCAUUAUUGUAACUAGUGACAUAAGUGCCCAUAUCCUUAUACUUAAUAUAUGUUUUUUUCAAUUGAACUAAAGGGUUAAGUCAUACUCCUUGGAUUCUUUAUUAUUUUUUGGUGGGAGGAUUCAAAAGAUCUAAAUUAAGCAACUCUGCGCAGGUGUUGCUAAAGUUGAAACAUUUAGUUUACCAAGAAACUGACUAGACAAAUUGUUACCUAAGAGUAUCCAGCUGGGGAUGUUUCUCAAUCAGACUUUCCUCAGCAGGAAUUAAUGCUAUAUUUGGGUGAGCUAAAGUAUUUGACUUCCUUUCUAGUCUCUGAACAAUACAAGAAGAAGAUAAAAUAUUUUUUUCUCUAGACUUCAAGGAUAACCUUAAUGAUGUCCCAGCCUAACAAAUAGGAAAGAAGAAACAAAGAUUGAAAAAUCAGAGAACAGGUGCUGUGUCUCCCUCCAAGAUUAAAGUUGAAACAGAUGGAAGGUAUUUGAAGUAUAGGAUCAUUGGUUGAAAAUACAAGGAUAUAUACAAAUUCAGUGAGAUAGGAAGAUGGGUGAACAAGAGGGAAUACAUAAACACUGAGCAAGAGGAAAUCAGUAUGAUACCAUCAAUUGUCUUGUGAGAUUAUGUUGCAGAACAGCUUCAUUCCCUUGUAUGUGGUUUUGGAAGAUGGGAGAGAAGGAGAAUGUCUAUGUUUCUUGGGCUUCUAGGCAUCAAGAGAUUAAUGAGAAAAAGAAGGGACCAUUAUGCCUGAAACAGAACCCUCUUUGAUGUUCUCCUUUGAAAACCUAAGAGAAAUAAAAGCAGAAAAGGAUUCUACUGAUUACUACUUCCUACAGUAAUAUGGUGAUUGAACACUGAUUAAUCCUCCCCGACAUUGAUGCAUUUUCACUGUUAUGAAACAUCUUAGAAAAAUUGAAAAGUCAAAAAAAAUAGAUUCUUUCCUUGCUGUUUUAACUGAAAAUUAAAGUUUGGGGGCCCAUCUUCACAAAGUUAAAUGCUAAUAUUGGAGGAUUAUUGCUAAAUAUUUCUAAAAGUAAUUGUUUGAGUUCUUCUGAAUUAUAUUAAACUCAAUAAUUUUCAUAGUAGAGUAUGAAUAGAUCCUUGCUUAGUUAACUUGGCUCUUUUUCCUAAUAAUGAACAUCUGGUUAAAUUCUAAUAUACAAAUAUGAAGGAAUUCUAUUUUUUGGAGUUGCAGUUCUAGGAGUGCAUUUGACACUUGGAACUCUCUUUAACCUGCCAAAAGAUGGUCUGAUAACUUUCAAAUUUUGAGACUCACUUUGUCAGACACACUGGCAAGAGGCCUACAUUUAAGGAGUAGACCUUAUGGAAGUAGAGCCCCUUAGCCAAUUUGGAAGAUUUUAAAUUUUUGUUGGAACAAUGAAGUUUAUUUCUAAACUCUUUCACCACAUGUUAUAAAUAUUAACAAUGAAGGUAAUGUGGGUGGUGGAGAUCUUAUUUUUUUUUUUUUGGAAUGGGGAUUUCAAUAUUGGCUGAGAUGAUAAUAAAGUCAUUCACUGAGAAACAGAA
Homo sapiens (human) is the source of this 4734-nucleotide long non-coding RNA. RefSeq lists it as uncharacterized. The transcript is spliced from 2 exons. Lineage: Eukaryota; Metazoa; Chordata; Mammalia; Primates; Hominidae. The record is from RefSeq and is a predicted model, not a curated record.